GCCCACCCGCCGCACGUACUAAGGAAGGCUCACAGCCCGCUGCGCUCGCUUCGCCGCCCCGCGUCUAGCUAGCCCAGCGUCCGCCGCGCCUCGGCCAAGGCUUCAACAGACCACAUCAAAAUGCCAUCUCAAAUGGAACAUGCCAUGGAAACCAUGAUGUUUACAUUUCACAGAUUUGCUGGGGAUAAAGGCUACUUAACAAAGGAGGACCUGAGAGUACUCAUGGAAAAGGAGUUCCCUGGAUUUUUGGAAAAUCAAAAAGACCCUCUGGCCGUGGACAAAAUAAUGAAGGACCUGGACCAGUGCAGAGAUGGCAAAGUGGGCUUCCAGAGCUUCUUUUCCCUAAUUGCGGGCCUCACCAUUGCAUGCAAUGACUAUUUUGUAGUACACAUGAAGCAGAAGGGAAAGAAGUAGGCAGAAACGAGGAAUUCCCCUGGCCCUGAUAACAGUUGUCCCAAAGGGUCACUUAAGGAAUCUGCCCCACAGCUUCCCCCAUGUAAGGAUUUCAUGAGCAGAUCAGGACCCUUAGCAAGUGUACAAAUAAAAUCUAACUCCCAUUUGAUGAGCAGAGAAAGAAAAGUUAAAUGCCAGACAAGCUUUUGAUUUUUGUAUUGUUUGCAUCCCCUUGCCCUCAAUAAAUAAGUUCUUUCUUAGUUCUG
This is an RNA transcript of Sapajus apella (tufted capuchin), 659 nucleotides long. It is a transcript of the gene named protein S100-A10 pseudogene, with no coding region annotated. Lineage: Eukaryota; Metazoa; Chordata; Mammalia; Primates; Cebidae. The record is from RefSeq and is a predicted model, not a curated record. The transcript has a single exon.